This 449-nucleotide ribosomal RNA is filed under the name uncultured prokaryote. Its description in RNAcentral is "bacterial SSU rRNA". It matches the Rfam family "Bacterial small subunit ribosomal RNA", at positions 355 to 796 of the family's 1533-position model. The record is from RNAcentral.
UGGGGAAUCUUGGGCAAUGGGCGCAAGCCUGACCCAGCCAUGCCGCGUGUGUGAAGAAGGCCCUCGGGUUGUAAAGCACUUUCAGUAGCGAAGAAAAGCUUCGGGUUAAUACCCCGGGGUCUUGACGUUAACUACAGAAGAAGCACCGGCUAACUCCGUGCCAGCAGCCGCGGUAAUACGGAGGGUGCGAACGUUAAUCGGAAUUACUGGGCGUAAAGCGCGCGUAGGCGGUUCGGUAAGUGGGAUGUGAAAGCCCCGGGCUCAACCUGGGAACUGCAUUCCAAACUACCAGACUAGAGUAUGGUAGAGGGAGGUAGAAUUUCCUGUGUAGCGGUGAAAUGCGUAGAUAUAGGAAGGAAUACCGAUGGCGAAGGCAGCCUCCUGGACCAAUACUGACGCUGAGGUGCGAAAGCGUGGGGAGCAAACAGGAUUAGAUACCCCCGUAGUCC